Molecule: long non-coding RNA, 852 nt
Organism: Tupaia belangeri chinensis (Chinese tree shrew)
Lineage: Eukaryota; Metazoa; Chordata; Mammalia; Scandentia; Tupaiidae
Exons: 5
Source: RefSeq, a predicted model, not a curated record
GUGGCUUGGAAAGAUACUUGAGACAACGUUUAGCACAAAAACGCAGUUUGCAGGAAACUUGCCUCUCACCUCUGCAGUCUAGCAACACAUUAACAUUGUGAUGGGGUGGGCCUGAUGAUGCAACAGCAGAAUGUGAUGUUCUGCAAAGGCCGACCUACGUGAAAAGAUUCCAGAUUUGUGUUCAGAGACCUCAGAAACCCAGGUUGGAAAUGGAGCAUAAUCCUCCAGGUGGAACCACUGAAGCCCCCACACCAAGGCUCCUGGCUGUAACCUGCACCUUGCUGUAUUUUCCCAUCUUGUCUCCAUGCAGAUCACCGGAUCCUUCCUAAAGUGCUUUGCUGGAAUGAAGAUGUCAAGUGGUCCCAAAACAUCUAAAAUCAUCUGUGUGAUCUUCAAAAUCAGCAACUUGAGAGUAAUAGGAAGCAGAUAUCUCAGCCAUAGAUGCCAUGCUAUUGUAGUAUGUCCCAAGGUUCAAAUAAUAUGCCCCAUUGGAAGCCUCCAUGAAUGGGAGCUGACAGGCAGGGCUGCCAUCAGCUGUUACUCACCAGGAAGGCCCUUUCAGUUCUGUUGUUCGGUAUCUGUUAUGAUUGGUUUGUGUCUAAAACUAUUUCUUGUUAAUUUUUUUUGAGCAUCAUACCUACUGAUGCCCUUGGCCUGAUGCCUACUGCAUGAUGCCAGGAAUAUUUGGAAGCCUCUUUCACCUUGGAUCAUCCCAUGAGGAUAACAAAAAAAGAGGGGAAAGGAACAUCCUGAAAUGACUGGUGACUCUCUCAAGCAGACUAGAACAAAUAACAAGUGACUAAAUUUACCUUGACUGUUUUUCAUGAUCAAUUUGUGAACUAAUUAAGUUCA